CAAGCCAGAAGAGGAGCGCCGCCCAGGCAAGGUAUCGGAGGAACCGUAUCCGAUGAGGAUACCAGAGGGGGAGCGGCGCCGAGACAGACGUAACCUACGGUGUUUACGCUGCCGACCGCAGGGGCUGAAUCCCCUGGGUUGUCACCCGCAUCGCUCCGCAAGGCGGAACGAUCAGCAAGGUGGAGCGCUUCUGGGUGU
This 198-nucleotide non-coding RNA is filed under the name Dickeya dadantii 3937. RNAcentral's name for it is "Lysine riboswitch aptamer". It matches the Rfam family "Lysine riboswitch aptamer". Rfam says of the family: Riboswitches are metabolite binding domains within certain messenger RNAs that serve as precision sensors for their corresponding targets. Allosteric rearrangement of mRNA structure is mediated by ligand binding, and this results in modulation of gene expression. This family includes riboswitches that sense lysine in a number of genes involved in lysine metabolism, including lysC. RNAcentral also lists the same sequence under 1 other name. The record is from Rfam by way of RNAcentral. Lineage: Bacteria; Pseudomonadati; Pseudomonadota; Gammaproteobacteria; Enterobacterales; Pectobacteriaceae.